Molecule: ribosomal RNA, 165 nt
Filed under: Sporobolus virginicus
Lineage: Eukaryota; Viridiplantae; Streptophyta; Magnoliopsida; Poales; Poaceae
Description: 5.8S ribosomal RNA
Rfam family: 5.8S ribosomal RNA
About the family: 5.8S ribosomal RNA (5.8S rRNA) is a component of the large subunit of the eukaryotic ribosome. It is transcribed by RNA polymerase I as part of the 45S precursor that also contains 18S and 28S rRNA.
Source: RNAcentral
CCAUAAGACUCUCGGCAACGGAUAUCUUGGCUCUUGCAUCGAUGAAGAACGUAGCAAAAUGCGAUACCUGGUGUGAAUUGCAGAAUCCCGUGAACCAUCGAGUUUUUGAACGCAAGUUGCGCCCGAGGCCUCUUGGUUGAGGGCACGUCUGACUGGGUGUCACAC